GACGAACGCUGGCGGCGUGCUUAACACAUGCAAGUCGAACGGAAAGGCCCUGCUUUUGUGGGGUGCUCGAGUGGCGAACGGGUGAGUAACACGUGAGUAACCUGCUCUUGACUUUGGGAUAACUUCAGGAAACUGGGGCUAAUACCGGAUAGGAGCUCCUGCUGCAUGGUGGGGGUUGGAAAGUUUCGGCAGUUGGGGAUGGACUCGCGGCUUAUCAGCUUGUUGGUGGGGUAGUGGCUUACCAAGGCUUUGACGGGUAGCCGGCCUGAGAGGGUGACCGGCCACAUUGGGACUGAGAUACGGCCCAGACUCCUACGGGAGGCAGCAGUGGGGAAUAUUGCACAAUGGGCGGAAGCCUGAUGCAGCAACGCCGCGUGCGGGAUGACGGCCUUCGGGUUGUAAACCGCUUUCGCCUGUGACGAAGCGUGAGUGACGGUAAUGGGUAAAGAAGCACCGGCUAACUACGUG
This 468-nucleotide ribosomal RNA is filed under the name uncultured bacterium. Its description in RNAcentral is "partial 16S ribosomal RNA". It matches the Rfam family "Bacterial small subunit ribosomal RNA", at positions 28 to 507 of the family's 1533-position model. The record is from RNAcentral.